Molecule: long non-coding RNA, 1285 nt
Organism: Oncorhynchus tshawytscha (Chinook salmon)
Lineage: Eukaryota; Metazoa; Chordata; Actinopteri; Salmoniformes; Salmonidae
Source: Ensembl
CUAACACCUAACCUCUGACCUCUAGCACCUAACCUCUGACUCCCGGCUGCUGUUUUUAGCUAGGAAGCUGGUUGACUUCAGCUCUUACUUCUAAGUUACUAUAGUUACCUUGACUUCUGCUUUAAUAAUGAACACCUCUGACCUCUAACCUCUGACCUCUGACUCUAGGCUGGCCUGACGGCGCUUGCUCUCCAGACAUUCAUCAACCUGUUCCAAAACUUCAGCCUCUUCACCGAUCAGCUCGAUGACAGCGCGGUUACCACGACAACGCCCGCAGCACGCCCGUCGCCAACGGAGUCACCAUAGUAACCACCAACCCCUACCAGCAGGCCCCUCCCUUCAGCGAAACUCUGAGUCUGGACCCUUCUGCCCUCACACCUGCUCCUGUCUUCUAGAGGAGAGAGACGGAGAGAGUAGAGAGAAGAGAAAGAUGGAGAGAUGGAGAGAGAGAGAUGGGGAGAGUAGAGAAAGAUGGAGAGAGGAGAGAGGGAGAGAAGAGAGAUGGAGAUAGAUGUAGAGAGAGGGGGAGAGAGGAGAGAGAGAUGGAGAGAAGAGAUAGAGGGAGAGAUGCAGAGAGAGAGAGAAGAGAUAGAUGAGCGAGAUGCGGAGGAAUGGACAGAGAGAAGAGAGGGAGGAUAUGAGAAAUAAAGAGAGAGAGAAUAGGAGAGAGUUUCUAGGCGUGAGACCGUUGUGACAUGACAGAGGUUGUAGCUUCAAGAUGUUGUGGGUUAGCCUGAUUGGCCGACUGAGGGUCAGGUGAUGCUGGCUCUCUGUCACCAUGGCAACUGCUGGCUCAGUCUAGGAUUCACACAGAGCAGGAACUAGAGCACACACACAGAGGCCAUUUUACCCAGAGAGGUAUAUAACAUUGUUGUAAAUAUAGCAGUCUACAUCACCUUAUGAAGGUCCUUUGGAACUCAGUAUUAAAGCUGUAGGAAACAGAGAGAUUAGAGAGAGAGAGAGACAGAGAAACAGAGAGAGAGACAGAGAAACAGAAAGAGAGAGACAGAGAAACAGAAAGAGAGAGACAGAGAAACAGAAAGAGAGAGACAGAGAAACAGAAAGAGAGAGACAGAGAAACAGAGAGAGAGAGACAGAGAAACAGAGAGAGAGAGACAGAGAAACAGAAAGAGAGAGACAGAGACAGAGAAACAGAAAGAGAGAGACAGAGAAACAGAGAGAGACAGAGAAACAGAGAGAGAGAGACAGAGACAGAGAAACAGAAAGAGAGAGACAGAGACAGAGAAACAGAAAGAGAGAGACAGAGAGAGAAACACAGAGAUAA